This is an RNA transcript of Antechinus flavipes (yellow-footed antechinus), 15041 nucleotides long. It is a transcript of the gene named SR-related CTD associated factor 8, with no coding region annotated. The record is from RefSeq and is a predicted model, not a curated record. The transcript is spliced from 24 exons. NCBI's taxonomy places the organism in Eukaryota, Metazoa, Chordata, Mammalia, Dasyuromorphia, Dasyuridae.
GCGUCUUCGACCGCUCCCUUGGGCGGCCCCUGGCCCAGUCCCCUCUCUCUAGGCCGCCGCCACCGCCUCUUCCGCCACCGUGCGCUGGGGCCUUCGCACCAACAACAUGGAGGCCGUGAAAACCUUCAACAGCGAACUCUAUUCCCUGAAUGACUACAAACCACCUAUUUCCAAGGCUAAAAUGACACAGAUUACUAAGGCAGCCAUCAAAGCUAUUAAGUUCUAUAAACACGUGGUACAGAGUGUUGAGAAAUUCAUUCAAAAGUGUAAACCAGAAUAUAAGGUGCCUGGACUUUAUGUUAUUGAUUCCAUUGUACGACAAUCUCGACAUCAGUUUGGUCAAGAAAAGGAUGUUUUUGCACCCAGAUUUAGUAAUAACAUCAUUAGCACUUUUCAGAAUUUGUAUCGUUGCCCUGGUGACGACAAGAGUAAAAUAGUCAGGGUUCUAAACUUAUGGCAGAAGAAUAAUGUAUUUAAGAGUGAAAUUAUUCAGCCUCUUCUUGAUAUGGCAGCAGGAAUUCCACCACCAGUUGUCACGCCUGUUUUGCCAAGUACAGCAGCAUCUAUGAGCAACAAUACCCCAGGAACUCCGGUGACACCUGUUACUCCAGCCAAUGUGGUACAAGGUUUGCCUGACCCUUGGGUAUCUCAGAUAGCCAAUACAGAUACACUAGCUGCUGUGGCACAGAUUUUGCAAAGUCCUCAAGGCCAGCAGCUACAACAAUUAAUACAGACACUACAGAUUCAACAGCAGAAACCACAGCCUUCACUACUUCAAGCACUGGAUGCUGGUCUUGUUGUUCAGUUGCAAGCAUUGACAGCACAACUCACAGCUGCAGCUGCAGCAGCCAAUACUCUUAAUCCGCUAGAACAAGGAGUCUCUUUUAAUAAGAAGUUGAUGGAUAGAUUUGAUUUUGGAGAAGAUUCUGACCGCGGUGAAGAACCUAAAAAGGAAACUUCAUCUUCCCAACUCUCUCAUGUUUCAGAAUCUGUAAACAACUCAAUUUUUCAUCAGUUAGCAGAACAACUGCAACAACAAAAUCUUGAGCAUCUUCGACAACAGCUCCUAGAACAGCAGCAACCUCAAAAGGUAACUGUUACUCAAGAGAAUCCAGAAAGUACAUUUGGUUCAGAGCACUCUGCAUCACCAUCACAGGGAAGUAGCCAACAGCAGUUCCUUGAACCUGAGACAAACUUGGAUGAUUCUAUAGAUAUUCAGCAACAGGAUAUGGAGUUAGAUGAAGGGCAAGAUGUUGCUGAAGAGAUCUUUGAGCAAGAAGAAAAGAAAGUGCCUAUUCGCUCUAGAUCAAGAACACAUUCAAGAUCUCGGUCAAGAUCACCAAGAAAACGAAGGUCCAGGUCACGCUCUGGUUCUCGAAAGCGCAAACACAGAAAGCGAUCACGCUCACGGUCAAGAGAAAGGAAAAGAAAAUCUUCUCGUUCCUACUCUAGCGAAAGAAGAGCUAGGGAAAGGGAGAAAGAAAGACAGAAAAAAGGAUUGCCUCCAAUCCGAUCUAAAACAUUAAGUGUCUGUAGUACUACUCUCUGGGUUGGUCAAGUAGAUAAGAAAGCUACACAGCAAGAUUUAACCAAUCUUUUUGAAGAAUUUGGACAGAUUGAAUCCAUUAAUAUGAUUCCUCCACGAGGCUGUGCCUAUGUUUGUAUGGUUCAUAGACAAGAUUCUUAUCGGGCACUUCAGAAACUUAGUUCCGGAUCUUACAAAAUUGGAUCCAAAGUUAUAAAGAUUGCUUGGGCUUUAAAUAAAGGUGUAAAAACAGAGUAUAAACAAUUUUGGGAUGUAGAUCUUGGAGUUACUUAUAUACCGUGGGAGAAAGUAAAGGUGGAUGACCUAGAUGGCUUUGCUGAAGGAGGGAUGAUUGAUCAGGAGACUGUGAAUAGUGAAUGGGAAACUGUGAAGACUUCUGAGCCUGUCAAAGAACCUGUCCAAACUGUAGAGAGUCCGACAACAGUUGAAAAGACACCAGUGGUUACUACACAGGCUGAAGUUUAUCCUCCACCUGUUGCUAUGUUGCCGAUUCCAGUAGCACCAGCUGUACCUACUGUUAGUUUAGUUCCACCAACAUUUCCAGUGUCAAUGUCCGUUCCUCCUCCAGGAUUUAGUGCAAUUCCUCCACCUCCCUUCUUAAGAGCAAGUUUCAACCCAUCACAACCACCUCCUGGUUUCAUGCCACCCCCGGUUCCACCACCUGUUGUGCCACCCCCUGCUAUUCCUCCAGUAGUAGCAACAUCUCUAGUACAGCCUCCAAUAUCUAUGACUCCAGAGACAAUGAAAGAUGUUGCUUUUAGUAACCUUGUUUUGCCAGUUGGCUCUGUGUCUAGCAGUCUUGCUACUUCAACUAUGUCAGCUGGAAGUGUUUAUAAUCCACCAAGUAACCAGCCUGAGGCAGAAGAAAAAUUAUCACACCUCACAGACCACCAGCUUUCUUCCAGUGAAAGUACCAGACCAGUGAUCCACAAUGAUGUCUCAAGUAGCUCUGGAAUUCUAGGUGGACAGCCACCAAACAUGUCAAGCAAUUCUGGGAUUUUGGGUGGACAGCCACCAAAUGUAUCAAGCAAUUCUGGAAUUCUGGGAGUACAGCCAUCUAAUGUUUCCAGUAAUUCUGGAAUGAUUGGAGCACAGCCACCAAAUAUUCCAAGUAGUUCCGGAAUUCUGAGACCACAAUUACCCAAUGUGUCAGGUAGCUCUGGACUCUUGGGGGUACCACCCCCAAAUAUUCCUAGCAAUUCUGGACUCCUGGGAGUUCAGCCACCAAAUGUUCCAAGUAAUUCUGGAAUUCUGGGACCACAGCCACCAACUGGGCCUCAAAACUUGCCCCCAUUAAAUAUUCCUGGUCAGCGGAUGCCUGGAAUACCAAUGUUAGAUAUUCGUCCAGGACUUAUACCACAAUCUCCUGGGCCAAGAUUCCCUUUAUUGCAGCCUGGACUUCCACCACAAAGAGGAAUUCCACCUCCUGCAAUUCUUGAUGCAUCUCUUCAUCCUCCACCUCGUGGUCCUUUUGCUCCAGGAGAUAUUUUCAGUCAGUCAGAAAGACCUUUUCCAGCUCCUUUAAGACAAAAUAUAGAUCAUAUACCUAAUCCAGAAAAAAGGCUACCACUUGGGAAUGAUAGUAUUCAACAGGAAGGAGAUAGAGAUUAUCGCUUUCCUCCUAUAGAAAACAGGGAGACCAUUAAUAGGCCUUCACCAGUGGAUGUUAGGGACGUAGUGGGGCGACCUGUAGAUCCAAGAGAAGGUCCAGGAAGACCUCCAAUAGAUGGAAGGGAACACUUUGGAAGACCACAUAUAGAUAUAAGAGAAAAUCUUGUAAGACCAGGUAUAGAUAACCUUGGUCGAAGAGACCACUUUGGUUUUAAUUCAGAUAAGCCUUGGGGCCAUAGAGAUUUUGAUGAAAGAGAGCAUCGUGUUUUACCUCUCUAUGGUGGUCCUAAAAGCUUCCAUGAAGACAGAGGUAGAUUUAGACACGGAAAUUUUAGGUUUGAUCCUAGAAGUGGUCCUAUUUGGAACAGAGGAUUUGGACAGGAUGCUCACAGAGAUUUUGAUGACCGCAGAAGACCCUGGGAGAGACAAAGGGAUAGAGAUGAAAGAGAUUUUGAUUUCUGCCGAGAAAUUAAUGGAAAUCGUUUUGGAAGAGACAGAAUUCAGAACACCUGGGUCCCACAUCCACACCCCCGAGUUUUUGAUUAUUUUGAAGGGGCCACUUCUCAACGAAAAGCUGAUAAUGUACCCCAGGUAAAUGGUGAAAAUACAGAGACAGAUAAUCAACCACCACCUUUACAAGUACAGAAUGAUCCUGAACUUUAUGAAAAACUGACAUCUUCAAGUGAAAUAAACAAAGAGAAGAAUGACACAGAAGCUGAUAUAGAAAGUGAACCAGUGGUAGAAAGCACAGAAACUGAGGGGACAUAAUCAUCACUCAGUAGGGAUAUGAUUUUUCCCCUGAGGACUGCUUUAGCUGCAUCCCAGAAAUUCUGGUCUUUAUGAGUCAGGAGAUAAUGGAGCAGUCUAGCUGAAUAUGGAGCCUUUCAUCUUCAGCUAACCAGUUUAAAUGGAGAAAGAUGACAGAACAGGAAGGAAGUGAGGAAGACCCUAGAUGAUGAAACCUUGGAGGAGAAUAAUUUAAAAACAAAGAAAAAUAGAAAAACUGAAAAACCAGAAUUGGAUCCUGAAUACCAGCCUUUUCUGCAUACAGCCUAAACUCAUAGGCAAAUAUCUACGAAAGAGGUGAAGACAAAGAUGAAGAGAAUACAAAGAAGAACUUAAGACAUUCAGCUGCUGGAGCUGUACUUUUCUCUAAUAGAUCCUUCAGCCAGGACUGGACAUGAUGAGGAUGAAUUGCUUUUGCAGUCCUCCAACUGAAGUAUGAAAUUCAUGGGCAGCCUGGGCACAAACUACAAAGGAGUUUCUCCACCUCCGUUCUUCUGCAUAGUCAAAGAACUGUAAUGUUUAAUAUUUAAACUAUAUUUUUCCAUGUUUACACAACCUGGCAGCCACUGUAAACAUUAUAAUUAUGCUCAGAGUCCAAAAGCCAUUUCAUAGUAAGUUUUUAAAGCACAGUAUGGGUCACAGACUUGAAAUACAGUUUUCCAGAAAGAGGCUCUCUCUUGGUAUAUGCAGUUGAAGUUACAUAUAUACUAGUCAUGUAUCAUUUUCAUAAAGCAUGCAGUCUACUCUCAGGUGAUUUUCAAAGCAAAACGUUGUUGCUGCUAUCUUAAUAUUAUUUCCAGAUUUUGCUUUUGAGGGUCCUUCUCAUUUUUUUCCCCCAAAGUGGAGGUAAAUAGUCUUUUACAAUGUAAAAAAUUAACAGAGGAAGAGGUAGAGAAGGACACUUAUGUGACAGAAUAGAGAGAGUGCAAGACUUAGAGUCAGAAAUGCCUAAUUCAAAUCCUGCCUUAGACACUUACUAAUUGUGUGACUCUGUGCAAGUUUCCUAAUUCAUAUGUGCCUCAGUAUCUUUAUUUCUAAAAUGGGAGUUAUUACUAUUUCUACCUCAAGGAAUUGUGAGGAUCAAGUGAAUUAACAUGUAAAAAGCACUUUUCAAACAUUAAAAGAGUAUGUAAGUGCUAUUAUAUUAUUAUUUAUAGCACUUUCUAUUAUAUUUUUACAUAUAAAUUGAGUGAGAAACUGAAGGCUGAUACCCCCAGAAAAUUUUGACAGGUAUUAUACUAAAGUGUGACUUUAUUUCAAAGGUUUUUUGGCUCAACCUUAUUAUAAAAUAAUAGUAGUAAUAGGUAGUACUUUUAGGCUUGAAAAUCCUUUAUCCUCAUAUUCGAGGAGGAAUUGGCAUGAUGGAAUCACUGAGUCCCAGGCGAGGAGAGAUAUUUGCCCAAGACCACUCCGGCACUAUCCAAAGCAGGAUUUGGACUUAUAUACUCCGAAUCCCAUUAUCUCUGAAUCCAGAAUACCAGAACUUCUGAAUCGCUGAAUUUGGGAUUUUACAGCCUCAGUGUGGUUAGCAUAAGUAUAAAUAUAUAAAAUUAAAUUAAAAACCUCUAAAGGCAGUAUAUUAUAAAAGAAAAGGCAUUGACUUGGAGUUGGCCAAUUAGGUUUCAAAUCCUGACUUCUAGUCACCAAUUUGUGUGAUCUUAGUAAGAUGUUAACUCUCUCUGAGCCUCAAUUUCCUCAUUUUCAAAAAGGUAUGUAAUAUUUAUACUACUACACCAUGGGGUUGCUGUGAUGAUCAAAUGAAAUAAUAAACACUUCAAAAAUGUAAGUUGUUAUUAUUCUUUUGCAGUUGUUUUUAUUCUUCCCUUGGUGGGGGGAGGGAGGGAAUGGGGAGGAUACUAUUUCUAAUUGCUUUAACUCUGAGGCUCUCAACCUGUGUUUUAUUGGUACAAGGAACUCCUGAAUAAGUAAAAUCUCUCUACCAAAGUAGAUUGGCAUCUUAUUGCAAUUUAUGUAUUGGAUCAUAAUUAUUGCUGUUAUUCAUAUAACACUUUUAAGUUUAUAAAACACUUUAUAUGUUAGCUCAUUUGAUCCUCAUAACAUUGUGAAGUGGGUACAAUUAUAAUUCUCAUUUUACAGAUGAGAGAACUGAGACAUUUAAGGGACUUGCUCAGGGUCAUACAGCCAGUAUAUAUAUAAGAAGGGGAAUUUGAAUUCAUUUAAGGAAGAAAAAAAAUUUUUAAGUUAUAAAAGAGCUGGUCUUUAUGUGUCUCCCACAACAAAUUAAAUUACAAAAUUCUCUGAAAAAAAAUGGAACUUUUUCUAGUUUUGGACUCAAUCAUAGAACCAUAGUCUUGGAAAAUUCAACUUUCCUUUUUGUGGCUUCUUUUCCCACUAUGGCAGCGGAGAAGGGCUGCUGGGAUCACUAUAGAUACUACCAGGGGAAACAGUCAAAUGUUGGCUUUCUUGUCUCUGCAGGUCUAGUCCAAGGACCAAUGUGGAGGAUGAUCCAUGGUGAUGGCCAAACCAAGCAUUUUCAUAACCUGAAUCAUCAAGUUUUAGCCUCAGUUUGUGGGCCCAAAUCAGUCAUUUGAAGGAAAUGGAUGUCAGUCUAAUGUCUAUCCAUGUCAGUACUGUGAAAAGAUGAUCCUAUGUUUAAUAAGCACAAUAGGGUAUAAACCAAACUCCCAUUGUCAAUCAUCUCAUCUCAUUUGAAUAUAAUACAAAUUUUUGGUGAGUUUGUGAAUAUGAUCCUCCCUUUACUCCAUCACUGUACCUCUUGGCUACUUUAUAUUUUAUUUUCAGAAUACUGGUGUGAAUCAGUAUGAAAUUAUGAAAGUCUGUUUAUCAUUGAGGUUUAAUUAAUAAAAUACACUGAAUCCGGCAGAAACUUGUGGUUUAGUUUAGUGUAAUGGAAAAUUUUAAGAAUCAGAUGUGUAAGUGGAAUCUGGGAAAAAAUGCCAAUUUUCCUUGAAGCAUAGAAUUAAUGUCUUUCCCGUAUCCAAAAAAUUUUGUAGAGCACUUGUUCUCCAAUGUUUGGAUUACUGUUUUCAACCAAAUGUUCAAUGAUUUGUGCUUAUUACCAAUGUGGGAAUACAGAUACAUGUAAGGUCAUUCUUAUCUAUAAGAGGAGGAUUUUAAACCAGAUUGUGGUAGUUCAGGAGACUUCAGAUACAAAUCAGCAAAGUAUAGGGAGAUGGGAGUUAACAAAAUGUCAUUACCACUCACAAGGGGAAGAGGAGAAUGGAAGCCAAUAGGAAAUUUCCUAUGAAGGGACAGAACCAAGAUGACAGAGAAAAGGCAGGAACUUGCCUGAGCUCUCCCCCAAACACCUCUAAAGACCUUUAAAUAAUGUACUAAAAUUUAAAAUGCAGAGUGAAAUAAUUUUCCAGAGUAAGACAACAUACAAGGUCAGCGGGAAAAUGAGCAAACAACAGGAAAAAAUUCUGACCAUCGAAAGUUACUAUAGUAACAAAGAAGAUCAAAACACACUUAAAAGACGAUAGAAAAGUCACAAUUUUUACAUCCAAAGCCUUUGAGAAAAAUAUAAAUUGGCCUCAGGUCACAGAAGAGCUCAAAAAGUAUUUUAAAAAUCAAGUAAGAGAAGUAGAGGAAAAAAUGGAAAGAGAAAUAAAGGUGAUACAGAAAAAUUAUUGCAGAAGAUUUAACAGCUUAAUUAAAAAAAAAAAAACAUAAAAAGUGCUAAAGAAACUAACACCUUAAAAAUAGAAUAGGCCAAAUGGUGAAAGAGUUACAAAAAUCCAAUGAAGAGAAGAAUUUAUUAAAAAGCAGAAUUGACCAAAUGGAAAAAAGCACAAAAAUUCACUAAAAACAGAAUUUGUCAAAUGGAAAAGAACAUCAAGAAAUAAUAAUUAAAAAAAAAUAAAACUUCAGAAUAGUCUUGGAUCAUUGUAUUGCUGAGAAUAGCAAAAUCAUUUGUAACUGAUCAUCUCAAAACAUUGUUAUUACUCUGUACAUAGUACAUUUCACUUUUCAUGAACUCAGGGAAGAUUUUUCUGAGUAUUUUGAGAGCAUUCUGUUUAUUUCCCAUGGGAUAAAAGCAUUCCAUCAUAAUCACAUACCACAAUUAAGCCAUUUCCCAAUUAAUGCACAUUGCUCCAAUUUCUAACUUGAAAAAAAAAAAAAACCUGAGGAAAGAACUACUAUAAAUAUUUUUGCACAUAUAGUUCCUUUUCCUUUUUUUAUGAUCUCUUUUGGGAUACAUGCUAGCCAUGUUAUUAUUGGGUCAAAGGGUGUUCAUAUUUUUAUAACCCUUCAAGUAUAGUUCCAAAUUGCUCUACAGAAUGAUUGAAUCAAUUCACAAUUCUACCAUCAAUGUAUUAAUGUCUUAUUUCCCCACUUUUUCUCUAACAUUUGUUAUCCUCCUUUUCUGACUCAUUUGCCAAUCUAAUAGGUAUGAGGUAGUAUCUCAAAAUUGUCCCAAUUUUAAUUUCUUUCAAUAGUAUUUUUAUAUGGAUAUAAAUAGCUUGAUUAAUUCAUCUGAAAAUUGUUCACAUCUUUUGAUCAUUCAUCAACUGAAGAAUGGUUCUUAUUAUUUAUUUUUUUUUUAAUAAAUCUGGCUUCGUUCCCUCUACAUUUGAGAAAUGAGGCUUUCAUUGGAGAAACUUGCUUCAAAAUUCUUUUCACAAUUUCCGUUGCUAACUGUAUGCCCCUCUCUCCCCAUUUAUUUCAUUCUGUUUCUCCUUUCAUCUUGUCCCUUCUCAAAAUAUUAUAGUCAAAUUCCAGAUCUACCAGAUUAAGGAGAAAAUUUUUCAAACAGAAAGAAAAAAUUCAAAUAUUGUGGAACCACAGUCAGGAUAACCCAAGAUUUUGGUGGAUUGGAGAGCUUAGAAUAUAAUAUUCUGAACAAGUUAGGUUUACAAUCAAAAUUGCCUCACCAGAAAAAUGGAGUGUAAUACUUUAGGGGGGAAAUAGGUAUUCAGUGCGAUAAAGGACUUUCAAUCAUUUGUGAUGAAAAAAACAAAACUGAAUAGAAAAAUUGACUUCCAACUACAAGUCUCAAGAGAAGCAUAAAAAGGUAAACAGGAAAGGAAAAUCAUAAGGGACUUAAUAAGGUUAAAUUGUUUACAUUCCUACACAGGAAGACAAUACUUUUUCAUUAUUAGAACAGUUAAAAGUAGCAUAUAUAGACAGAGGGAAUAGGUAUGAAUUAAAUAUGAAAGGAUAAUAUGUAAAAAAAUGAAAUUAGAAAAACUCCUUGGGAGAAAGGGAAAGAAAGAGAUAGAAUGGGAUAAAUUUUCUCACGUAAAAGAGGCAAGAUGGGAAAGGUAGUGAACUCUUGAAUUUUUACUUUCAUCUGAACUCAAUUAGAGGGAAUAAUAUAUACACUUAAUUGGGCAUACAAAUCUAUUAUAGUCUCUAAGAAAAUAAAAGGAGAAAGAGAUAGAGAAUAGAGAAGAUGUUCAUUGAAAGGAAGAUGGAUUGUGGAUUAGGGGAGGCAACAGAAGAAAAACUUUUGAGGAAGGACAGGGUGAAAGGAGAGAGAUUAUAGUAAACAGGAGAAAUAGGAUGGAAAGAAAUACAGUUAGCAAUUAUAACUUUGAAAAAGUUUUUGAAGCAAGUUUUUCAAAGGCCUCAUCUCUCAAAUAUAUAGAGAAGAAAGGAGUCAAUUUUGUAAAAUAAAAUAAGAUCCAUUGCCCAAUUCAGAAAUGUUUGAAAAAUACAGUCAGUAAUCAAAGUUAUCUAUAGCUGUAUUUAAAAAUGCUCUAAAUCAUUAUUGAUUGGGAAAAUGAAAAUUAAAACAAUUCUGAGAUACUACUUCACAUAUAUUAGAUUGGCUAAUAGAACAGAAAAAGAGAAUGAUAAAUGUUGGAGAAGAUGCGGGAAAAUUGGGACACCAAUGCACUACUGGUGGAGUUGUGAACUGAUCCAAUUCCUACAUAGAGCAAUUUGGAACUAUGUCUAAAUAUUAUAGCACCUCUUUUCUGGUGGCAAAGAAUUGGAAAGUGAGAGGAUGCCCAUCAGUUGGGGAAUGGUUGAACAUUUUGUGUUAUUAAUCAUGAUUAUGAUGAGCUAGAUGCUCUCAAAAAAAAAAAAAAACCUGAAAAGAUUUCCAUAAACUGAUGCAACAUGAAAUGAGUCAAACCAGGAGAACAUUGUACAAAGUAAUAGCAAUAUUGUAAAAGGUAUUGUGAAUGACUCAGCUAUUCUAAGCAAUACAGUGACCCAAGACAACUCUGAAGGAUUUAUGGAAAAUGCUGUCCCUCCCCAGAGAAAGAACUGAUGGAAUCUGAAUACAGAUUGAAGCAUACUUUUUCAAUUUUUUUUCAAUUUUUCUUGGAUUUUUAUUUUGGUCUUUUUUUUUUUUUAACAAUAUGAUUGCUAUGGCAAUAUGUUUUAUAUGAUUACACAUGCGUAACAUUUCAAAUUGCUUGGUGUGGAGAGAAAAUUUGGAUCUCAAUUUUUAAAAUGAAUGUUGAAAAUUGUAAUAGGAAAAAACAAAAUAAUUCAAAAAGAGAAAAAGUUCUGUGAAAUGAAAAUCCUGGCCGAUUCUUUAGGGCACAUGUUCAUUUUCUUUCUUUCUUUCUUUCUUUCUUUCUUUCUUUCUUUCUUUCUUUCUUUCUUUCUUUCCUUACUUACUUACUUAUUUUUUUUUUAAUUUUAUUUUAUUUAAUAAUAACUUUGUAUUGACAGAAUCCAUGCCAGGGUAAUUUUUUACAACAUUAUCCCUUGCACUCGCUUAUGUUUCGUUUUUUUCCCCUCCCUUCCUCCAUCCCCCUUCCCCCCCAAGAUAGCAAGCAGUCCUAUAUCACAUGUUCAUUUUCAAUGGUUAAUUUCAUUCAAUUAAGAGGUUCAAAAUUAAAUUGUUAGAGAAAGUGCAAAGUAUAUAUUUAAAUAAUAUUGGCAGUUGCUAAAUUUUAAAACUCCUAUCAUCACAUAAUUGGAAUAUCUGUGAUUAUUUUGUACAACUCACUUUUAAAAAGGAAUCCUUUAUAAUCCCUUCAUGGAAUCCUUACAUCUCAAAAUUUGAAGGGAUAUUACAAUUCCAAUUUGGGCAAAAAUCCUCUCUGUAGAAUUCACAUAAAAAUAGAGAAUAUUAGAAUUGGGAAGUGUUGAGUUUCAUUUCAGACAUUCAGAAAAUGUAGAGCCUUUCAUUAAAAGGAGCAAAUUGGACAGUGAAUCCAAAAGCAGCAUGCCUUUUUGUCAGGGAUGUAAAAAAUGUGUCCAGAGAGGACACUAGUCCUAACUUGAGAUAUCCAAGGAUUGGAACAAUCAAUCAUCAGCCAGGGCAGUGGCCAGACCUCAGAUGCCUAAGUCCCCAAGACCAAAGCAAAAAGAGAAAGGGGGGUUUACCACAGUCUUGGGAAGAGGAUACUACUCAGCAGUGCUACAUCCAGCAUCAUGUUUUCCAAUUGCUGCCUUUAAUUGGGGUCCUGUCUCCAGCAAGGCCCUCAUUGAUCCUUCCCACCCCACACCCUACCACCCCCCACACACUGUAGGACUAGGAGCCAAUACUUCCAACAGAUCCAAAAUUAUGAGAGUUAAUUGACUCACACCAAUGUAACUUCACUUUGUUAUAUAUUUUAUAGAAAGGGAUGACACGUUGUUGUUCAAGCAUAUUUGUUUUCCCGUCACUCAUGUUAUUUCCAGGGAGACACUGAGGAUUGAUUAGAAAGAUAUACAACACAGGGUACUAAAGUUUCCAUCACUGAAGAUUCCAGAAAGGGAAGAAAGCACCAGGGCAGGAGUGGAUACAUCUAGAGCAGUUUGUCCAAAGCCUUUAGCAAGAUCCCUUUUGCCAAAAUAUCCCAUGGUUCCAUGCUGUCAGUCAACAAGCAUUUAUUAGACACAUAUCAUGAUUCAAAGGAGUAUGAGGUAGGUAGGUGUGGGGCAAUGAACAGAGAAAUGGACCUGGAAUCAGGAAGACUUGCUAAGUCCCUUUACUUCUCUAAGCCUCAGAUAUUUCUGCAAAAUGGGGUUAAUAAUUCAAAACAAAAUCAAAGGAGAUAAAAUGUAAACUUUAAAAUGCUACUAUAUAAAUGGUAUAAUGAUGAUAUAAAUAUCCUCUUUAUAAUUAAGCUUAUAACUUUGGUGUAUUCAAGGUAAUAUAUAAUAUAAACUUCUAGUAUAUAAAUUGUUUCUCAAGUUUAUAAUUUGGUUUCUCAAGCAGAAUUUUAAAGAUAAACCUUUUGGUAUUUGUCCAAAAAAUCCCCUACUUUACUUUCCCUCCCCCUCCCCCAAGAUAUCUCUAGACAGAGAUGUGACUCCUUUCUUAUAGUGCAAGAGGUCAUUGGUCUGGCCAUUUAUGCUAAUGCCAUGUCUAAAUUUUUAAAACAAUUUGAAAACUGGGGGCUCCGGGGAAGGAAAAUACAUGAUAUUAAAAAAAAAAAAAAACAACUUUGACUACAGGUUCCUUUUUUGAGGUUUCUCCACUAAACUGACUAGCUCAAGAUCAAACCUAGCAAGGGAAUCACUAGUUCUGGAGAGACCUGGAUCUGAAUUCCAAUUCCAUUUCUAAAGCUUACUAACUUUGUAUCCACAAAAUGAGGACCUCAAUUUCCUCAUGUGUAAAGUAAGAUUAGAAUAGAUAGCCUCUGAGAUCCUUUCCAGGCCUACAUAUAAAUUUGCUUCACUCUUAGCAGUCAAACCAAGACAUAGUCUGCUGAUGGAUUUUAAGGCAAUGUUUGGAUGUGAAUGUGGACAGCCAGCACAAAAGUAUUUUAGCUCACUGUUUGGGCUUUCUUACUCCAGGCUUUCAAACAAAGCCUCAACAAAGAGAUCUGCUGAAUUCUUUGUAUGCAUAGCUUGCAAUCCUCAGCUAGAUCACAUGCCCCCAAACACUAGCUUUCUGGUGCUGGGUCUUACAUGUCAGAAUCUUUUUCUCUGAAAUAGGGAAGGGGGAAGGGAGGAAAGUUUGAGGCCCCAUUGAGAAUUUUUCCAAGCCAAAUGCAACCAUACCACCUAAGCACGUUGCUGUACUCUGCCACCCAGAAGAAUGAAUCUGUGAAAGUUUCAUAUGCUCAGUAUUAGAACAUCUAAGUUUAUUGAGGCAAUUUGCAGCAACUAAAACAGAUGGGGUAUAACUGUACACAUAUGACAUUUGGAAUCUGAGACUUUAUUUAAAAAGAAAAACAUAAAUACUUAUUUCAUUGGUGGGAAGAAAAGUAACAACACAACCCACGAACAUUUUGUCAGACUCUCAGGAACUGGAGAAAAAUUUCCCAAAGGAGCGUUGCUUAGGGGUAGUAUGUUAAAUAAAAGAGCCUGUAACUGGCAGUAAAGAAACCUGGGUCCUAACAAUAAUUUACCUUUUUGUAGGGAAAAGGGAACCAUGAUAAUAGAGCUAGUAAAAGUUAGAGGCAAGUUUCAAACUCAAGUCAAGCUCUUCAGUUACUCUACCAGAAUGUUUCUACUAACUACCUCUUGGGAGAUAAAAUUUCAAGACUUCAGUUUCCUCAUCUGUAAAGUGAGGAUAUGGUUCUUCCAGUUCCAGAUAAAUCCAUUGAAUCUAAUAGUAAGUGGGAAUGACCUUCCUGUGGGGAUAGAUUUAGAAAGGCUGGUAGAGGCUUUGCAGCCUCCUCAAAUCACAAAGAGUACAUUCUAACAGAAAGGACCCCAGGGCAUUGGGUUACAAUCCCAUGAAAUUUUGGACAAAUUAUUAUGGCUCUCUGGACCUAUUAUCAGCAAAAUGAAGUUGGGGAGGGUUGACUUAGAUAAAGUGUUCUGAACUUCUUUGGUACUCUAGUGAAGCCUCUGGACCCUUUCUCAGGAUAAUAUUUUUAAAUAUAUAGGAUUAAAAAUUAUAAUUAGCAAAAUAUUAAAAAUACAGUUUUGCUGACCCCUAAAUAAUUACUCUUGCUCUUUGAAAUUGUUUCUUUAAAAUAUUGCUAUUAUUCUCUCAAACCUGUGGAAGAGGAAGGAAUUUGUGACCAAAGAAGAACUAGAGAUCAUUAUUGAUCACAAAAUAGAAAAUUUUGAUUAUAUAAAAUUGAAAAGUUUUUGUACAAACAAAACUAAUGCAUACAAGAUUAGAAGGGAAACAAUAAACUGGGAAAACAUUUUUACAGUCAAAGAUUCUGAUAAAGGCCUCGUUUCCAAAAUAUAUAGAGAAUUGACUCUAAUAAGAAAUCAAGCCAUUCUCCAAUUGAUAAAUGGUCAAAGGAUAUGAACAGACAAUUCUCAGAUGAAGAAAUUGAAACUAUUUCUAGCUAUAUGAAAAGAUGCUCCAAAUCAUUAUUAAUCAGAAAUGCAAAUUAAGACAACUCUGAGAUACCACUACACCCCUGUCAGAUUGGCUAGAAUGACAGGGAAAGAUAAUGCGGAAUGUUGGAGGGGAUGUGGGAAAACAGGGACACUGAUACAUUGUUGGUGGAAUUGUGAACACAUCCAGCCAUUCUGGAGAGCAGUUUGGAACUAUGCUCAAAAUGUUAUCAAACUGUGCAUACCCUUUGAUCCAGCAGUGUUUCUACUGGGCUUAUACCCCAAAGAGAUACUAAAGAAGGGAAAGGGACCUAUAUGUGCACGAAUGUUUGUGGCAGCCCUGUUUGUAGUGGCCAGAAACUGGAAACUGAGUGGAUGCCCAUCAAUUGGAGAAUGGCUGAAUAAAUUGUGGUAUAUGAAUGUUAUGGAAUAUUAUUGUUCUAUAAGAAAUGACCAGAAGGAUGAUUUCAGAAAGGCCUGGAGAGACUUAAAUGAACUGAUGCUGAGUGAAAUGAGCAGGACCAGGAGAUCAUUAUAUACUUCAACAACAAAACUAUAUGAUAAUCAAUUCUGAUGGACAUGGCCUCUUCAACAAUGAGAUGAACCAAAUCAGUUCCAGUAGAGCAGUAAUGAACUGAACCAGCUACACCCAGCAAAAGAACUCUGGGAGAUGACUAUUCCCUCUAUUUUUGUCCACCUACAUUUUUUAUUUCCUUCACAGGCUAAUUGUACACUAUUUAAAAGUCCAAUUCUUUUUGUACAACAAAAUAACUGUUUGGACAUGUAUACAUAUAUUGUAUUUAACUUAUACUUCAACAUAUUUAACAUGUAUUGAUCAAUCUGCCAUCUAGGGGAAGGGGUGAGGAGAAGAAGGGAAAAGUUGGAACAAAAGGUUUUGCAAUUGUCAAUGCUGAAAAAUUACCCAUAUAUCUUGUAAAUAAAAAGCUAUAACAUAAUAAAAAAUAAAAUAUUGCUAUUA